AUUGAACGCUGGCGGCAUGCCUUACACAUGCAAGUCGAACGGUAACAGGUCUUCGGAUGCUGACGAGUGGCGAACGGGUGAGUAAUACAUCGGAACGUGCCCGAUCGUGGGGGAUAACGUAGCGAAAGCUACGCUAAUACCGCAUACGAUCUACGGAUGAAAGCGGGGGAUCGCAAGACCUCGCGCGAUUGGAGCGGCCGAUAUCAGAUUAGCUAGUUGGUGGGGUAAAAGCUCACCAAGGCGACGAUCUGUAGCUGGUCUGAGAGGACGACCAGCCACACUGGAACUGAGACACGGUCCAGACUCCUACGGGAGGCAGCAGUGGGGAAUUUUGGACAAUGGGCGCAAGCCUGAUCCAGCAAUGCCGCGUGCAGGAUGAAGGCCUUCGGGUUGUAAACUGCUUUUGUACGGAACGAAACGGUGAGCUCUAAUAAAGCUUGCUAAUGACGGUACCGUAAGAAUAAGCACCGGCUAACUACGUG
This 482-nucleotide ribosomal RNA is filed under the name uncultured bacterium. RNAcentral's name for it is "bacterial SSU rRNA". It matches the Rfam family "Bacterial small subunit ribosomal RNA", at positions 30 to 507 of the family's 1533-position model. The record is from RNAcentral.